UCCCCCCAAAAUAUGCAGAGACAAAGUCUCAUCGUUUUUUAUGCUAAAUGCAUCUAUCAUACUAUAAUUAUUGUAUAAUGAGUUGGAACUAUUGUAAAAUAAUAGCUACCCAAGAUUUUCCUUGAGUCAUAGCUUUUUUUAAGUAGUAGCUAUACGAAUUUACCAUUUUGAUUAUGAGGGAAGUUUCUUUUGAUGCCGAUUCGCCGAUUAUAAGACUGACAAUUGUUGUUGGUCUUUGAACUGUCCACGAAGAUCCUUGAAUUUGGCGAAUUGGCGAAACAUUUGACCGUCCGAUUGGGUGAUUGGCUAUUAUAGCUACACUAAUACUACGGAUUUCCCGAAUUAUAGUAUCUCAUGAACGGUUACGUUUAUUGUUUAGUGAUUUUGUUUGUCCUCUGGCUAAACUUUAAAAGCGACAUUGGUGACAACACUAGGCAACAGUGCAAGAUCAUUAUAGGCCUACCAAUACUUAGGUUUUAUACCCUUGAAACAGGAAAUGCAUGUUACCAACCAUCACCACAUGUAUGAAAAGAGAUGGAACCAUGGAGAUGAAAGCUGCUGUAUGCCAUGGUCAUAUGUAAAGGAUAAUUAGCUGACAAGUAGGUGGAUGAUAAGGUAUGUUUUUAGUGUAGGAGCUCAUAUACAGCCUUAACUGUAUUCCCAUCAUACCUGGGAGGUUUGGCUGUGUCAUGAAAGAUCCUCUGGAAAAUUUUAUAUGACACAUCAGAGCCGGAUUAAGCUGGUGGGCGGCCUGGGGCCCACUCUGGUGGGAGGCCCCCUUUCCAACUGGCAGUGGCGGACUGGGUCUAAAAAUUGUGGUUGCCAGGUGGCAUAAGAGGGCCCACUCCAACCUUCAGCCACAAUACUAUAAUAGAGUUUACUUUACAAAUGCAUAAAAUAUUUGAAAAUGCAUAAGUGGAAACACAGAAAGACAAAUGAUUGGAAUGUUUAUUUUUCAGUAAGAAGUGUAAAUAUCCUAAAUAUAUGAUUGAUAGUGUAAAGUAAUACCAAAAUAUGGAUACACAAUUGCUUAGUUGAAUUUCUAAUCAGUAUAAUGAUAUGGAGUAGUGCUAUUUUUAAAUGUUUGCUAACUGAAAAUGUAAUCCAAUAAACCUGUAAAGAAAAUCAAAUAUCUUCAAUGAAAUAUUAAGAAGCUACAUAUAGCCUGAAUUCUAUAUAGCCUAAGUAUUCUACUAACAGAGAAGUUUUCUUUCAAAUAAUUUAAACAU
Molecule: long non-coding RNA, 1229 nt
Organism: Macrobrachium nipponense
Lineage: Eukaryota; Metazoa; Arthropoda; Malacostraca; Decapoda; Palaemonidae
Exons: 3
Source: RefSeq, a predicted model, not a curated record